Dromaius novaehollandiae (emu) is the source of this 4076-nucleotide long non-coding RNA. RefSeq lists it as uncharacterized. The transcript has 3 exons. The record is from RefSeq and is a predicted model, not a curated record. NCBI's taxonomy places the organism in Eukaryota, Metazoa, Chordata, Aves, Casuariiformes, Dromaiidae.
CUUCACUGCUGUUGCUUGUCUUCUCAUGUAUGCUGUGUAGGUAGAGCUGUAGUUUUUUCUUCUGCAUCUUUUCUUCUGUAGAUGUAACCUUUUUUGGACUUUUUUCUCUCUUCCUCAGUACAGUUUCUCAAGAUGUGAGGAAUACUGGAUUACAGUAUAUUCAUACCCUGACAGAAAAUGGGCUAGGAUCCUGCCAGUGCCUGGAACUGAGUAAAGCUACUGCCUGGAAUAUAAUCCUGAGGAAAACCUGAUGUGUGGCUGUAAUCUGCCUGCGCUCCACCUGGCCCAUGGCAACCUCACCUUCCCUGGCAGAGAACCACUGCAGAAGCCCCCUCCUUCGGGGUAUUCCGGGGCUUAAAUGAGUUUCCUCCAGGACUUACUUUCUCUUGCUUGGGCUGCAAGUUGGCUCCAAAUCCCCUUUAUAUAGGGUUUUUGGAUGGGAAGAGGGCUGGCAAAUAUAAUAUGACCCAAUUAAAUAAGAACAUUGAGUGCUCUGGCAAGAAUUUGGUAAGGAGUAAGUUUCCAGGUUCACACAGCUCUGAUUACUGCCACACAGUUGGUGUAUGUGCAAAACAAGAAGGAAAUGUAAGCAAAAGCAAACUGCGGCAGCAGGGUGAUUUUCAUGUAAGCUGAACUUUGCUUUGGUUAUACAAGCAGAUCUUUUGUCGGUGCUCCUGCCCUCUCUCCCUUCCCUCGGAUGUUCGUCUUUGGAUUGCUGUAAACUAGUCUCUGAAAAAGACUUUUUCCAAGUACAAUUAUCCUAAAAUUAACAGGCUGAUAAACACUUUGCUUCAAACUCCUCGGAAUGUAUCUCCUUUGUCAAAGCAGGAAGCUUUGGAAAAUGUCCAAACCUCAAACAGACUAUGAGACACUAGCAGUCUCAGGGAUGCAGCUACAGUGCUUCUCAGAUUGGUGGCUUAAAUCCAUUAGACAUGCUUAGACAUCUGCUUGUUUUAAUAACCCUCUCACCCUUUUUCAUGAGGCUCGAAGUCCAUUAGUAAUGGUCAAAAUGUGGCUUGAGAAACCCAUUCCACAUCUGUUCAAGCCAGACAGCUGAAAGAUGAACGGCAGAUAUGCUCUGUACUCUUUCUAAAGAAAUUAGUUAAGCAAUCCAAACCUAAACGAUCAAGCAUUUUAAAAAUCUCAACCAGCAAUUGGCACUUGCUUGUGUUUUUUCUAUAUACUUGCCUAUGUAGAUGCUGCACUGCCAACACAGGACUCAUUGCCAUGUAGAACUAUUGGUCUCACCUUGCUAAAAGGUGAAGAGGUAUAAUAAAUCAUCAUCUUUUCCAUUCCAGAUCUUCUAAUUGGAGUUUUAUAAGUGCUCCAUCAUUUCUAAUAAACACACGCUUCUGUGGUGAUUAUUUCCAACAGGCUGAGAAGCUGCAUUAAAGUUAGGUCAGACAAAUACUAUGGUGAAUCUUCUUCAACAGAUAUAGCAUAGAGCUGAGUGGUAGUCAAAGUAAAUCAUUGCAAUUAGAAGAUGAUGGGAAAUUUAGUCGGAGUUCUCAAAACUUAGCCAAAACUUACUCUUAUUGAAGAAAGAGACAUAGGAAAAAGCCUGGGGAUAAAACUGACACAGUGAACUUGGAAGGAUAAAUAAACUAACACAGAGAUUAUAAUUUUUUGCAAUUGCUGCAACUUUCAGUGUUUAUCUACCAUUGCAGAAGCAAUGAAUAUUCGUAUGAUGCAUAUUUGGCAAGGUAGACUGUCAAAACACAGUUGCAGAAAUGCACAAAGAAUGUCCAUAAAUAGCAAAUGUGCUUGAUUAAAAAGCUUCAAUUUGAAGGCAGCUGUUGCAAACUUCUAUAAAAUGUAAAGGUUUGUAUGCAUAUAGCACAAUUCACAUGGAUAUAAAUAACUGGGUGAUGUCUCAGAGUCACUGGGGUAAUGGUAGAAGAAUCUAGGUUGGACACAACCUUUGUUAUCUUUGGCUAUGCAGAAUAGGACUAGGAUCCUUCUCCUGUACCAGAUCUUGGUCAGAUGGUUUGGCUGUCAAGCCAGUUCUACAGCUGAUACCUAGCAGAUUUUUGGGGGGCUGGCUUCUUUAGUCAUAGUACUUGAAAAACCUACAGUAGUAAAAUUUAGCUCUGCAUUCAACAUUAUUUUCGUAGAGUCAUAGGAACUUCACAUUCUUUAGAAAUGGUUUUAGAUAAAAUAAGUUAUAUUUUUUUUCUUCUUUGAUAUGAAAUAGUUGAAUUGGAAGCUAUUGGUUUAAAGUUGGAGGUGUGUGGACAUGUAGCAGGGGUUAACAUGUUUGUAAUUAGUCACAUUAGUCACAAAUGGGCCAUUUUUGGGACAAAUACAUCUCUGACUUUGCUCCUGAAUGGCAAGACCUUUUUCAGUUUCCUUUUUAUUGCCAGUGGUAGAGAGUUGGAGCCUGUUACUGAAGAGGAUUGUGCUGGUGGCAAUUCAAUUUACUGACAUACGACAUUACCUUUUCUCCCCCUCCUCCUACUGCAAAACCCUAACAUCUUUCUUCUAUGUCUUCCUUCGAAAUAUAUCUCUGAAUCUUCAAAAAUAUCUUAAUUCUGUACCACUGACAGUGAAAGCAACAUCUGAGUUUUGGUGUGGACACUUGUCUGACUGGUGGCCAGUCAGCUGCCCAGGAACCGUAUUUUCUCUGAUUAGCCAUCCAGCAUCUCCUUUCUGGCCACUGGGUAGAACAAACAGCCCUACUACCUUUUUGCUGCUUUGUAGGUUCAGGAAAGUGUGCAUUGCUUCUCAGCUGCUAACAAACCCAGGUAGCCUUCUGCUGGCUUUUGCUAAUCUUUAGCUAAGUCUUCCUUAAAAGACGGUUAUCAUUGUUCCACACUAAAGGUAGGCAAAGAAUAAAAUUCAUUAGCUCAGUGUGUUACCUCCCUCUCAAUGAUCAGAUCUUAUAUAGAUCAUAUUAUUGUGGCAGAAUCUUUAUUUCUGGUUUUCUUGUCUUGACUUAAUUCCACUAAGAACAGAUACAAAUGAUGCUACUUCACUUUAGAAGAGACCUGUAUUCUAGGUAUGAUUUGGUCUGCUUGUUGUGUCAUCAGUUUCAUCUCUCUCAGCUUCCAGAAGUUGAACCUAUUCUACCUCUGUAACCCCUUGAAGCCCACUAGGAUUAGCUUUGGUCUUUGGAAAGACCUAAUGGUAUGCUGUUCAAUAAUAGCAUAUUCUUCUGUCUUGGUACUGCCUGUAUACAAGGUCUACUUUCUCCCUUUGUGACUGUAUCAGCUGCUCCUGUUCCUCUUGAGAAGAGAACCCAUACAGAAGAGAGAUCUGGGCGCUGAUCUCUGCAGUAUUUGAGGAACAGAAAAAAGCUUCACUUCUGAUAGCAUUCUUGGCCAAGAAUACAAGCAGGUAGUUUUUCUUGGGACAUCCACCUGCCUGGAUUUGGUCUCUUUCUUCUUCUUCUUCUUCUUCUUCUUUCUGCUAUUAAGGUCUGAGAUGAAAAAGAAGAGAAGUAACAACAGAUAGGACAAGAAGGGUUCAGCCCAUUUGAUAUAUUUGGUUUACUUGCUGCAUCCCUGAGGGCAAAACCUUUGAAGCUCGUCAUCAGGAAUACUGAGGCUGCUGAAAUCCAAGACAUCUUCAAAGCCACAAUCUUCAACGGUGGCUUGUAAGGCUGUGUUACUGUAUUGGCUGUGCCAUUCACCAUGAGUAGUGAUGGACUGCUCUAAAGAAAUCUGAAAUUAUUCACUGGGCAGACAAACUCCUUGAUGGACUCUAAGACCAACUCGCACUUAUUAGGAAUCUACAUCUGUACUGAAUAACAUAAUUUCAUUGCAAUAGAACUGUUUAAACUGAUCUAUCUUGAAAGUAGGAAUGGAAGAAGAAGAAGGGAUAAUGAUCUGAUUUCAGCACUUCUAAAACAUCUGGCCUGCAGGAUAGCUCCCACCUACAAAUGCUCAUACCGGUUCAGAACACAAGUCUGUGUAGCCUGAGAUUCUGCCUCUGCUGGUCACUGGCAGUAGGUGCUUAGGGAAAGCUUAAAGGUCAGCGUGAAUAGAAUAAUGCUCCCUGGUAUAGCCUGCCAGCUAUUCAUGCUGGGGUUUAAGGUAUCUUGAUGCUGAAGGCUGCAUCUGUACCUUUGUGUUCAA